Molecule: long non-coding RNA, 444 nt
Filed under: Gossypium barbadense (sea-island cotton)
Lineage: Eukaryota; Viridiplantae; Streptophyta; Magnoliopsida; Malvales; Malvaceae
Description: long non-coding RNA (GBAR_LNC021683)
Source: RNAcentral
UGUUUGAGCGGGUGAAAUUCUCAUUAGAUGUAAUUAUUCCCGCCAGCUUUAUUUUCCUUCACAAAAGUCACACCUUUCCAUCUUUUUCGUUCACUCGAUAUAAACCUCCUUCACUGUGCCGACUGUCCCACAUACAAAGUAGCAACUUUUAUUCACCUUCUCUUCCCCAAGUUUGUACGUUUACAACUUUAAACCAUCUUCACUCCACAAAACAACCAAAAUAUGGAAAGAACAAGAGGAUCAGACAAGAAAGCCACCAAACCUGUUGAAGAAGACUUAUAUUCUGCAACUACAGUUCGUGAAUCGAAAUCAUCCAUUCCAACAGAGAAAACGGAGUCGGUGAUCUUUUUAACGAAAGCAUCGUAGGACCAAUUUCAAGAUAACAUUUUGAAGCGUAACCUCCAUCCAAAACAGGGCAUUCUCCUUUCGUAACAGCAAGACUUG